This 303-nucleotide ribosomal RNA is filed under the name uncultured Fusobacterium sp. Its description in RNAcentral is "bacterial SSU rRNA". It matches the Rfam family "Bacterial small subunit ribosomal RNA", at positions 1212 to 1513 of the family's 1533-position model. The record is from RNAcentral. Lineage: Bacteria; Fusobacteriati; Fusobacteriota; Fusobacteriia; Fusobacteriales; Fusobacteriaceae.
GGCUACACACGUGCUACAAUGGGUAGAACAGAGAGUUGCAAAGCCGUGAGGUGGAGCUAAUCUCAGAAAACUAUUCUUAGUUCGGAUUGUACUCUGCAACUCGAGUACAUGAAGUUGGAAUCGCUAGUAAUCGCGAAUCAGCAAUGUCGCGGUGAAUACGUUCUCGGGUCUUGUACACACCGCCCGUCACACCACGAGAGUUGGUUGCACCUGAAGUAGCAGGCCUAACCGCAAGGAGGGAUGCUCCGAGGGUGUGAUUAGCGAUUGGGGUGAAGUCGUAACAAGGUAUCCGUACGGGAACGU